CAGUCGCGGGAAUACCGAGGGUGCAAGCGUUAAUCGGAAUUACUGGGCGUAAAGCGCGCGUAGGUGGUUUGUUAAGUUGGAUGUGAAAUCCCCGGGCUCGACCUGGGAACUGCAUCCAAAACUGGCAGGCUAGAGUAGGGCAGAGGGUGGUGGAAUUUCCUGUGUAGCGGUGAAAUGCGUAGAUAUAGGAAGGAACACCAGUGGCGAAGGCGACCACCUGGGCUCAUACUGACACUGAGGUGCGAAAGCGUGGGGAGCAAACAGGAUUAGAUACCCCCGUAGUCCCUGUCUCUUAUACACC
RNAcentral lists this ribosomal RNA (301 nucleotides) under uncultured bacterium. Its description in RNAcentral is "partial 16S ribosomal RNA". It matches the Rfam family "Bacterial small subunit ribosomal RNA", at positions 512 to 810 of the family's 1533-position model. The record is from RNAcentral.